Molecule: ribosomal RNA, 253 nt
Filed under: uncultured microorganism
Description: partial 16S ribosomal RNA
Rfam family: Bacterial small subunit ribosomal RNA
Source: RNAcentral
UACGUAGGGUGCGAGCGUUAAUCGGAUUUACUGGGCGUAAAGGGCGCGUAGGCGGCCGUGCAAGUCUGGUGUGAAAGCCCAGGGCUUAACCCUGGAAGUGCACUGGAAACUGCACGGCUUGAGGACGGUAGAGGGAGACGGAACUGCUGGUGUAGGGGUGAAAUGCGUAGAUAUCGGGAGGAACACCAGAGGCGAAGGCGGCCACCUGGGCCAAGACUGACGCUGAGGUGCGAAAGCGUGGGGAGCAAACAGG